GUUUCCUUAGUAAAGUGAUUAGUACACUUGAAAUGGACAUAAGAGAUGUGGGUUCAAUUCCCACAGGACACA
Molecule: transfer RNA, 72 nt
Organism: Puccinia sorghi
Lineage: Eukaryota; Fungi; Basidiomycota; Pucciniomycetes; Pucciniales; Pucciniaceae
Rfam family: tRNA
About the family: Transfer RNA (tRNA) molecules are approximately 80 nucleotides in length. Their secondary structure includes four short double-helical elements and three loops (D, anti-codon, and T loops). Further hydrogen bonds mediate the characteristic L-shaped molecular structure. tRNAs have two regions of fundamental functional importance: the anti-codon, which is responsible for specific mRNA codon recognition, and the 3' end, to which the tRNAs corresponding amino acid is attached (by aminoacyl-tRNA synthetases). tRNAs cope with the degeneracy of the genetic code in two manners: having more than one tRNA (with a specific anti-codon) for a particular amino acid; and 'wobble' base-pairing, i.e. permitting non-standard base-pairing at the 3rd anti-codon position.
Source: Rfam